RNAcentral lists this ribosomal RNA (884 nucleotides) under uncultured Clavulina. RNAcentral's name for it is "eukaryotic LSU rRNA". Lineage: Eukaryota; Fungi; Basidiomycota; Agaricomycetes; Cantharellales; Hydnaceae. The record is from RNAcentral.
UCUUGGUCAUUUAGAGGAAGUAAAAGUCGUAACAAGGUUUCCGUAGGUGAACCUGCGGAAGGAUCAUUAAUGAAUUGUAAUGGAGGCUGAUGCUGGGAAAGUCAACUUUGUUGGCCUCCAUGUGCUCGCCGCCCAACAAUAUUUUGUCCAAAUAYAACCACCUGYGCACAUUUCGGGGGAGAGAGAGGGGUGUUCUCUUACUUGUUCCCUCGAUAUACAACCACCGCCUUACAAUAUUGAACGUGAUUGUGCCGCCAGGCUUUUAACGAAAUACAACUUUUAACAACGGAUCUCUUGGCUCUCGCAUCGAUGAAGAACGCAGCGAAAUGCGAUAUGUAAUGUGAAUUGCAGAAUUCAGUGAAUCAUCGAAUCUUUGAACGCACCUUGCGCCCCCUGGUAUUCCGGGGAGCACUCCUGUUCGAGUGUCGUGAAUUCUUCAAGCCUCUGGAUGUUUUUCAUCUCACGGGCUUGGUAGUAUUGGGCUUUGCUGUGCCAUUUGUUGGAGCGGCUUGCCUUAAAAUCAUUAGCUGAUCCUUAUGCGGCAUUGGUUCUACUUGGCGUGAUAACAAUCUGACCGCUGAGGACAUCUCCUGUGGGAUGGCCAAUUCUUCAUCUGGGUUGCUUCUAAUUUGGGCCCGUGCCCCUUUGCAGAUUCUGAUUCUGCUGUGUUGCGCACGGCUCCCUUUUCUCCUUUGACCUCGAAUCAGGUGGGACUACCCGCUGAACUUAAGCAUAUCAAUAAGCGGAGGAAAAGAAACUAACAAGGAUUCCCCUAGUAACGGCGAGUGAAGCGGGAAGAGCUCAAAUUUAAAAUCUGGCAGUCUUUGAUUGCCCGAAUUGUAAUCUAGAGAAGCGUUUUCCGUGCUGGACCGUGUACAAGUCUC